RNAcentral lists this ribosomal RNA (367 nucleotides) under uncultured bacterium. RNAcentral describes it as "bacterial SSU rRNA". It matches the Rfam family "Bacterial small subunit ribosomal RNA", at positions 470 to 836 of the family's 1533-position model. The record is from RNAcentral.
UGACGGUACCCYUAAAGGAAGCCCCGGCUAACUCUGUGCCAGCAGCCGCGGUAAUACAGAGGGGGCAAGCGUUGUUCGGAAUUACUGGGCGUAAAGGGCGCGUAGGCGGCCAUUUAAGUCAGACGUGAAAUCCCCCGGCUCAACCUGGGAAMUGCGUCUGAUACUGGACGGCUUGAGUUUGGGAGAGGGAUGCAGAAUUCCCGGUGUAGCGGUGAAAUGCGUAGAUAUCUGGAGGAAUACCSGUGGCGAAGGCGGCAUCCUGGACCAUCACUGACGCUGAGGCGCGAAAGCUAGGGGAGCAAACGGGAUUAGAUACCCCGGUAGUCCUCGCCCUAAACGAUGAAUACUUGGUGUGGCGGGUAUCGAU